RNAcentral lists this ribosomal RNA (253 nucleotides) under uncultured bacterium. RNAcentral describes it as "partial 16S ribosomal RNA". It matches the Rfam family "Bacterial small subunit ribosomal RNA", at positions 524 to 776 of the family's 1533-position model. The record is from RNAcentral.
UACAGAGGGUGCGAGCGUUGUUCGGAAUUAUUGGGCGUAAAGAGCUCGUAGGCGGUUCGUCGCGUCUGCUGUGAAAACUCGGGGCUCAACCCCGAGCCUGCUUCCGAUACGGGCAGACUAGAGGUAUGCAGGGGAGAAUGGAAUUCCUGGUGUAGCGGUGAAAUGCGCAGAUAUCAGGAGGAACACCGGUGGCGAAGGCGGUUCUCUGGGCAUUACCUGGCGCUGAGGAGCGAAAGUGUGGGGAGCGAACAGG